UACGGAGGAUGCAAGCGUUAUCCGGAUUUAUUGGGUUUAAAGGGUGCGUAGGCGGGCUUUUAAGUCAGCGGUAAAAAUUCGGGGCUCAACCCCGUCCGGCCGUUGAAACUGGGGGCCUUGAGUGGGCGAGAAGAAGGCGGAAUGCGUGGUGUAGCGGUGAAAUGCAUAGAUAUCACGCAGAACCCCGAUUGCGAAGGCAGCCUUCCGGCGCCCUACUGACGCUGAGGCACGAAAGUGCGGGGAUCGAACAGG
RNAcentral lists this ribosomal RNA (252 nucleotides) under uncultured bacterium. Its description in RNAcentral is "partial 16S ribosomal RNA". It matches the Rfam family "Bacterial small subunit ribosomal RNA", at positions 524 to 776 of the family's 1533-position model. The record is from RNAcentral.